RNAcentral lists this ribosomal RNA (445 nucleotides) under uncultured Synechococcus sp. RNAcentral describes it as "bacterial SSU rRNA". It matches the Rfam family "Bacterial small subunit ribosomal RNA", at positions 28 to 520 of the family's 1533-position model. Lineage: Bacteria; Bacillati; Cyanobacteriota; Cyanophyceae; Synechococcales; Synechococcaceae. The record is from RNAcentral.
GAUGAACGCUGGCGGCGUGCUUAACACAUGCAAGUCGAACGAACCUUCGGGUUAGUGGCGGACGGGUGAGUAACGCGUGAGAAUCUGCCCUCAGGAGGGGGAUAACGGUUGGAAACGACCGCUAAUACCCCAUAUGCCGCGAGGUGAAAUGAAUUUCGCCUGAGGAUGAGCUCGCGUCUGAUUAGCUAGUUGGUGGGGUAAAGGCCUACCAAGGCAUCGAUCAGUAGCUGGUCUGAGAGGAUGAUCAGCCACACUGGGACUGAGACACGGCCCAGACUCCUACGGGAGGCAGCAGUGGGGAAUUUUCCGCAAUGGGCGAAAGCCUGACGGAGCAACGCCGCGUGAGGGAUGAAGGCCUCUGGGCUGUAAACCUCUUUUAUCAAGGAAGAAGAUCUGACGGUACUUGAUGAAUAAGCCACGGCUAAUUCCGUGCCAGCCACGCCCG